Non-coding RNA from Prunus avium (sweet cherry), 241 nucleotides. The record is from RefSeq and is a predicted model, not a curated record. NCBI's taxonomy places the organism in Eukaryota, Viridiplantae, Streptophyta, Magnoliopsida, Rosales, Rosaceae.
AGAAUACAAUUUUGAAUUUACCUUGGUGGCCUCGGGAACCCCUUGCACUGUGAUCAAGGUUGACUUUUUACACAAUCUACUGGUGGAACUCAUGACGACGACGACGAUGAAUUGCAACUUGGCAAUUAUGAUAAUAGUGUAACAAGUGAAGGAUAUAGUGAUUUAGAUUGAUGUUUUUGAUGACAACUCCUGGGCAGCGAGGAAAGAGGGUGAAGAGAGUUAAGAGGUUGAGGGAUCGCAC